Molecule: ribosomal RNA, 409 nt
Filed under: bacterium
Lineage: Bacteria
Description: partial 16S ribosomal RNA
Rfam family: Bacterial small subunit ribosomal RNA
Source: RNAcentral
UGGGGAAUAUUGCACAAUGGGCGAAAGCCUGAUGCAGCGACGCCGCGUGAGGGAUGACGGCCUUCGGGUUGUAAACCUCUUUCAGCAGGGACGAAGCGCAAGUGACGGUACCUGCAGAAGAAGCACCGGCUAACUACGUGCCAGCAGCCGCGGUAAUACGUAGGGUGCAAGCGUUGUCCGGAAUUACUGGGCGUAAAGAGUUCGUAGGCGGUUUGUCGCGUCGUUUGUGAAAACCAGCAGCACAACUGCUGGCUUGCAGGCGAUACGGGCAGACUUGAGUACUGCAGGGGAGACUGGAAUUCCUGGUGUAACGGUGAAAUGCGCAGAUAACAGGGGAGACACCGGUGGCGAAAGCGGGUCUCUGGGCAGUAACUGACGCUGAGGAACGAAAGCGUGGGUAGCGAACAGG